This 261-nucleotide ribosomal RNA is filed under the name uncultured prokaryote. RNAcentral describes it as "partial 16S ribosomal RNA". It matches the Rfam family "Bacterial small subunit ribosomal RNA", at positions 524 to 784 of the family's 1533-position model. The record is from RNAcentral.
UACGGAGGAUCCGAGCGUUAUCCGGAAUUAUUGGGUUUAAAGGGUGCGUAGGCGGCCAUUUAAGUCAGCGGUGAAAUUUUGCAGCUUAACUGUAACAGUGCCGUUGAUACUGUUUGGCUAGGAUUUGGUUGUAGUGUGCGGAAUGUGUGGUGUAGCGGUGAAAUGCUUAGAUAUCACACAGAACACCGAUUGCGAAGGCAGCACACUAAGUCAUUAUUGACGCUGAGGCACGAAAGCGUGGGGAUCAAACAGGAUUAGAUA